GGACCCGUAGCUCAGCUGGAUUAGAGUGCUAGACUACGAAUCUAGAGGUCGCAGGUUCGAACCCUGCCGGGUCCGCCA
Molecule: transfer RNA, 78 nt
Filed under: Pseudobdellovibrionaceae bacterium
Lineage: Bacteria; Pseudomonadati; Bdellovibrionota; Bdellovibrionia; Bdellovibrionales; Pseudobdellovibrionaceae
Description: Bdellovibrionaceae bacterium tRNA-Arg
Rfam family: tRNA
About the family: Transfer RNA (tRNA) molecules are approximately 80 nucleotides in length. Their secondary structure includes four short double-helical elements and three loops (D, anti-codon, and T loops).
Source: RNAcentral